UCGAACGCGUCUCCGUUGAUGAUUUUAGGUGCUUGCACUUGAAAGCUUAACAUUGAGACGAGUGGCGAACUGGUGAGUAACACGUGGGUAACCUGCCCUUGAAGUAGGGGAUAACACUUGGAAACAGGUGCUAAUACCGUAUAACAACCAAAACCACCUGGUUUUGGUUUAAAAGACGGCUUCGGCUGUCACUUUAGGAUGGACCCGCGGCGCAUUAGCUUGUUGGUAAGGUAACGGCUUACCAAGGCGAUGAUACGUAGCCGACCUGAGAGGGUAAUCGGCCACAUUGGGACUGAGACACGGCCCAAACUCCUACGGGAGGCAGCAGUAGGGAAUCUUCCACAAUGGACGAAAGUCUGAUGGAGCAACGCCGCGUGAGUGAUGAAGGGUUUCGGCUCGUAAAACUCUGUUGUUGGAGAAGAACAGGUGUCAGAGUAACUGUUGACAUCUUGACGGUAUCCAACCAGAAAGCCACGGCUAACUACGUGCCAGCAGCCGCGGUAAUACGUAGGUGGCAAGCGUUGUCCGGAUUUAUUGGGCGUAAAGCGAGCGCAGGCGGUUUUUUAGGUCUGAUGUGAAAGCCUUCGGCUUAACCGGAGAAGUGCAUCGGAAACCGGGAGACUUGAGUGCAGAAGAGGACAGUGGAACUCCAUGUGUAGCGGUGAAAUGCGUAGAUAUAUGGGAGAACACCAGUGGCGAAGGCGGCUGUCUGGUCUGUAACUGACGCUGAGGCUCGAAAGCAUGGGUAGCGAACAGGAUUAGAUACCCUGGUAGUCCAUGCCGUAAACGAUGAGUGCUAAGUGUUGGAGGGUUUCCGCCCUUCAGUGCUGCAGCUAACGCAUUAAGCACUCCGCCUGGGGAGUACGACCGCAAGGUUGAAACUCAAAGGAAUUGACGGGGGCCCGCACAAGCGGUGGAGCAUGUGGUUUAAUUCGAUGC
This 939-nucleotide ribosomal RNA is filed under the name uncultured bacterium. Its description in RNAcentral is "bacterial SSU rRNA". It matches the Rfam family "Bacterial small subunit ribosomal RNA", at positions 62 to 957 of the family's 1533-position model. The record is from RNAcentral.